GAGGGUAUAGCACAGUGGUAGAGCACAUGCUUAGCAUGCAUGAGGUUCUCGGUUCAAACCCUAGUACCUCCA
Molecule: transfer RNA, 72 nt
Filed under: Camelus bactrianus (Bactrian camel)
Lineage: Eukaryota; Metazoa; Chordata; Mammalia; Artiodactyla; Camelidae
Also listed under: 3 other names
Rfam family: tRNA
About the family: Transfer RNA (tRNA) molecules are approximately 80 nucleotides in length. Their secondary structure includes four short double-helical elements and three loops (D, anti-codon, and T loops). Further hydrogen bonds mediate the characteristic L-shaped molecular structure. tRNAs have two regions of fundamental functional importance: the anti-codon, which is responsible for specific mRNA codon recognition, and the 3' end, to which the tRNAs corresponding amino acid is attached (by aminoacyl-tRNA synthetases). tRNAs cope with the degeneracy of the genetic code in two manners: having more than one tRNA (with a specific anti-codon) for a particular amino acid; and 'wobble' base-pairing, i.e. permitting non-standard base-pairing at the 3rd anti-codon position.
Source: Rfam by way of RNAcentral